CACGUAGGGUGCGAGCGUUGUCCGGAAUUAUUGGGCGUAAAGAGCUCGUAGGCGGCUUGUCACGUCGGGUGUGAAAGCCCGGGGCUUAACCCCGGGUCUGCAUUCGAUACGGGCUAGCUAGAGUGUGGUAGGGGAGAUCGGAAUUCCUGGUGUAGCGGUGAAAUGCGCAGAUAUCAGGAGGAACACCGGUGGCGAAGGCGGAUCUCUGGGCCGAUACUGACGCUGAGGAGCGAAAGCGUGGGGAGCGAACAGG
This 253-nucleotide ribosomal RNA is filed under the name uncultured bacterium. RNAcentral describes it as "partial 16S ribosomal RNA". It matches the Rfam family "Bacterial small subunit ribosomal RNA", at positions 524 to 776 of the family's 1533-position model. The record is from RNAcentral.